This 253-nucleotide ribosomal RNA is filed under the name uncultured bacterium. RNAcentral's name for it is "partial 16S ribosomal RNA". It matches the Rfam family "Bacterial small subunit ribosomal RNA", at positions 524 to 776 of the family's 1533-position model. The record is from RNAcentral.
GACAGAGGGGGCAAGCGUUGCUCGGAAUUACUGGGCGUAAAGGGCGCGUAGGCGGGAUGGCAAGUCGGUCGUGAAAUCCCUCGGCUCAACCGAGGAACGUCGAUCGAUACUGCUGUUCUUGAGGAUUGCAGAGGAGACUGGAAUUCCCGGUGUAGCGGUGAAAUGUGUAGAGAUCGGGAGGAACACCGGUGGCGAAGGCGGGUCUCUGGGCAAUUCCUGACGCUGAGGCGCGAAAGCUAGGGGAGCAAACGGG